This 468-nucleotide ribosomal RNA is filed under the name uncultured bacterium. RNAcentral describes it as "partial 16S ribosomal RNA". It matches the Rfam family "Bacterial small subunit ribosomal RNA", at positions 28 to 507 of the family's 1533-position model. The record is from RNAcentral.
GACGAACGCUGGCGGCGUGCUUAACACAUGCAAGUCGAACGGAAAGGCCCUGCUUUUGUGGGGUGCUCGAGUGGCGAACGGGUGAGUAACACGUGAGUAACCUGCCCUUGACUUUGGGAUAACUUCAGGAAACUGGGGCUAAUACCGGAUAGGAGCUCCUGCUGCAUGGUGGGGGUUGGAAAGUUUCGGCGGUUGGGGAUGGACUCGCGGCUUAUCAGCUUGUUGGUGGGGUAGUGGUUUACCAAGGCUUUGACGGGUAGCCGGCAUGAGAGGGUGACCGGCCACAUUGGGACUGAGAUACGGCCCAGACUCCUACGGGAGGCAGCAGUGGGGAGUAUUGCACAAUGGGCGGAAGCCUGAUGCAGCAACGCCGCGUGCGGGAUGACGGCCUUCGGGUUGUAAACCGCUUUCGCCGGUGACGAAGCGUGAGUGACGGUAAUGGGUAAAGAAGCACCGGCUAACUACGUG